GAUGGACGCUGGCGGCGUGCCUAAUACAUGCAAGUCGAGCGAACGGACGAGAAGCUUGCUUUUCUGAUGUUAGCGGCGGACGGGUGAGUAACACGUGGAUAACCUACCUAUAAGACUGGGAUAACUUCGGGAAACCGGAGCUAAUACCGGAUAAUAUUUUGAACCGCAUGGUUCAAAAGUGAAAGACGGUCUUGCUGUCACUUAUAGAUGGAUCCGCGCUGCAUUAGCUAGUUGGUAAGGUAACGGCUUACCAAGGCAACGAUGCAUAGCCGACCUGAAAGGGUGAUCGGCCACACUGGAACUGAGACACGGUCCAGACUCCUACGGGAGGCAGCAGUAGGGAAUCUUCCGCAAUGGGCGAAAGCCUGACGGAGCAACGCCGCGUGAGUGAUGAAGGUCUUCGGAUCGUAAAACUCUGUUAUUAGGGAAGAACAUAUGUGUAAGUAACUGUGCACAUCUUGACGGUACCUAAUCAGAAAGCCACGGCUAACUACGUG
This 497-nucleotide ribosomal RNA is filed under the name uncultured bacterium. RNAcentral's name for it is "partial 16S ribosomal RNA". It matches the Rfam family "Bacterial small subunit ribosomal RNA", at positions 28 to 507 of the family's 1533-position model. The record is from RNAcentral.